CGGAGGGUGCGAGCGUUGUCCGGAAUCACUGGGCGUAAAGGGCGCGUAGGUGGCUUGGUAAGCGUGUGGUGAAAGCCCGGGGCUCAACCCCGGGUCUGCCGUGCGAACUGCUAUAGCUAGAGUACUGUAGAGGCAGGUUGAAUUCCGGGUGUAGCGGUGGAAUGCGUAGAGAUCCGGAAGAAUACCGGUGGCGAAGGCGGCCUGCUGGGCAGUUACUGACACUGAGGCGCGACAGCGUGGGGAGCAAACAGGAUUAGAUACCCUGGUAGUCCACGCCGUAAACGAUGGGCACUAGAUGCUUGGGGGAGCGACCCUCUGAGUGUCGUCGCUAACGCAGUAAGUGCCCCGCCUGGGGAGUACGGCCGCAAGGCUG
This 373-nucleotide ribosomal RNA is filed under the name uncultured organism. RNAcentral describes it as "bacterial SSU rRNA". It matches the Rfam family "Bacterial small subunit ribosomal RNA", at positions 526 to 896 of the family's 1533-position model. The record is from RNAcentral.